GACAUAAACAGCCAUAUAAUAAGACAAAACUAUUCCAAGAUUUGCAGUCAUGUGAAGAGAUCCACAAGUAUACUUUCUCUCCAGCGGUACUUUCACUUUCAGUAAAUUAGUACAGCCAGGGUUGCCAACUCUCACGCAUCUGGCGUGACACUCACGCUUUCAGCAUCAAUCUCACGCUCUCACGCACACGCAAGAAAUGUCACGCCAAAAUCCAUUUUUCUCCCCUCUCAAUCCGUUACUUUCUGUUGAUGACUAGAUCACAGCGUUUUAAUGACAGGAGAGGAGUUUAAGGCCCACAGCUGUUACAUCUCCCUACAGUAUUCUCUGAUCGUUGAUUGGCUGAAAACCUUGCACCUGAUACGUCAGUUGCGUGUGAGAAGUUCAGAGAGAGUUCUGAACAUAGGGUCGGAGUCGGCACGUGUGAAAGUUUGGAAGACAAUCAAGCUGUCACCUGUUUACUUUGUGAGAAGAUGCAAUGGAAUGAAAGCCUGUUGACUGAAUCAUUCAGCCAGCGUGAGUGAACCGAUCAUCUCUCCCACGGCACGAAAACACGGAUGAACAUCGGAAGGAUGAAGAGCUGCUGGAUUCAGUGCAGCAGGAAGUAGGAGAGCAGAGAACAGCAGAGGAACAGGAAGCUCUGGGAGACACUCUGAGCACCGUUACACAGGUUCCCCUCACAACAUGAGAAGCUCCCAAAAUCA
This is a long non-coding RNA of Megalobrama amblycephala (Wuchang bream), 701 nucleotides long. RefSeq lists it as uncharacterized. The record is from RefSeq and is a predicted model, not a curated record. NCBI's taxonomy places the organism in Eukaryota, Metazoa, Chordata, Actinopteri, Cypriniformes, Xenocyprididae. The transcript has 3 exons.